Molecule: ribosomal RNA, 253 nt
Filed under: uncultured bacterium
Lineage: Bacteria
Description: partial 16S ribosomal RNA
Rfam family: Bacterial small subunit ribosomal RNA
Source: RNAcentral
UACGGAGGGUGCGAGCGUUGUCCGGAAUCACUGGGCGUAAAGGGCGCGUAGGCGGCGCGGGUAGUCAACGGUGAAAGCUUGGGGCUCAACCCCGAGUCGGCCGUCGAUACUCCCGUGCUUGAGCACUGUAGAGGCAGGUGGAAUUCCGGGUGUAGCGGUGGAAUGCGUAGAGAUCGGGAGGAACACCAGUGGCGAAGGCGACUACCUGGCCUGUUCUUGACGCUGAGGCGCGAAAGCUAGGGGAGCAAACGGG